CUUCGCAUCUCCGGCCCUUUCUCGGGGAGGGGACGUGGACGGGGCGGGCCUUUGGAAAUGCAGAUGAGUCGCCUCCCGCUGCUAGUCGCCCGGGCUGAACCUUCCUGACUCAGCCGCCCGCCACCCCCAUCCUUUCCAGAGUGAGGGCCCCCUGGGCAGAUGGGAAAGGGGGGCUAUUGUAAGGCUCUCUUUUCCUCUAGGAGACCUUGCCCGAUUUGUGGCUGUCAUCUCCCUGAGAAACCCUCCGACUUUCCCGCUCCCCGCCAUGCCCUUGGCUGGAGAAAGGGCGACGGCCAGGUACCCCCACAGUGAACCAUCCUCCUUUGGACAGCAGAAUCAGGCCUAAUGUCACUCUGACCAUACGCUAAGCCACAGCCUGGAGGCUGAAGCCGGCUCCUGCACUCCCAGCCUCCGGAUGAUUAGGAAGCAGUUAGGUGCUAAACUGUGGUCUGGGUGUGAUUCUCAGAGGGGAGAGGUGUCCCCGUGACUUGUAAGGGUCACACCCCCUUCCCACUCCCAUUUCUCCUUUACUUCUUUUUACUUUCUUUGUUUCUCCUAUCUUUGUCCCCCCACCCCCCACCCCUGUCACCUCCUGGGGGCAGGGGGAGGCGGAGCAGCCUGUCGGUCCUCUGGCUGUAGUUACUCCCGGCUUAGAGGUUGGCCCCGCCCCCGGUCACCCAGCUAGCUCAGGGCGGGGCUGCUCCUGGCGCCAAUCCGGUGGGGCCAGGCUGGAGAGGGCCACGCCAGCGGAAAGGCGGCCCGAGGCUGGGAGGUGGCCGGACCUGCCUUGCUACUGGACGCCAGGGUCCCGCCUCUUCCGGCCCAUCUACCGGAGCCCCAGCCUGGAAUACGACCUUUUGGACCUUCUGGGUGGAGACUGCCUCUGCCUGGACUGUGGAAAGAGGCAUCCCGCCAUAUUGGAGGCUGCCUGGAUCCAGCACUAUCUCCAACGGGCCAGUGACCUCAGCAAGUCCCCGCCCCACUGGAGCUGAGGUCUCCCCAUGUGAACCAGGAGGAGGAAGGUGGAUGGUGACUUUUUGAGCUGUUUCUAAUUCUGGUUUGUGAGGGGAGCUUUUUGUGUUCCAGUAUGACCUCCCCACCAGCGCCACCAAGUGCUGCGACCUGGACAGAGUCCUUGACUCCCAGGCCAUCCCUGGCUACCUCCUAUCUCUGGGACCUCAAAGAAUAGCUCAGUUUAUUCUGCCUCCUCUGGGGUGGAUGACUCCUCGGGUUUGAGGUGACCUCUCAGGAUGUUUUGAAGUGCCAGGGGAGUGGAGGCUGUGAGAAGUGUCAUUAACUUUCCGUCCUAAGCUGUGCGGGCCCGACUUGGCCCUGACAAGACCAGUGGGUCUGGCCCUUCUCCUGAGCUCAGCUGGCCCGCUCCCUAGCUUCUGUUUUGUGUCCAACUCUAUGGCAAGAAUCAGCUUAAAGAAUCCUUCUUGCUCUCCUAAACCUCUCCAGGAACUCCUGGUGACUAGAAGGUGAAUGACUUGGGCCCUCAGAACAUCUCACAGUUUCAGGGGCCCUGAUUCAGGGUCAGGUCCAGGGCUGGCUGCAAAGGUAAGUGGUCUUCCACUACUCAAAGGCCGCUGCCAGCCUCCCUCUCCCUGAGUGACAGUGACCUGGUCCUUUCCUGCCAGCGUCAAGCUGCCACUGUGGAAAGCUGACCCCAGCCCUUCCUCACCACCCAAUCCCAGCUCCUCCCUGGUCACCAGAGAGAGCUUGAGGGCCUGGCUUUGGCUCUGGCUCGGCUCCUGUUCUGUUCAGGAGCCUCCUGGCAGCAAGGCCCUCCGCGACCUAACCGCUGUUACCUUGACAACCAUGUCUGGCCUCCCUCCUCAUUCCCCAGGCACUGCGGAAUCUGAUGGGGUUUUCCAGCCACCAUGCAUUUGUCCUGCUCCCAUUGGACUGCCCUCCCAACACUGCCAAGUCUUGGCUAAACCCCUGGUCUCUAAAGUGUUCUCAUCUCCCAAACUCCUUUAAGAGACUGCUGCCCCAGAGACAGCUCUCUGCUGGCAGGAACACAAUUGCCUCUCAAUAAACUUGUGUUGUAAUAAAGAAA
Molecule: long non-coding RNA, 2062 nt
Organism: Suricata suricatta (meerkat)
Lineage: Eukaryota; Metazoa; Chordata; Mammalia; Carnivora; Herpestidae
Exons: 3
Source: RefSeq, a predicted model, not a curated record